ACAGCGCUCGUGUGUCUGCCCGUGGCGCCGGUUAUCUGUCGAAGUUACCACUGACAAUGCCCAAAACAAGAACAACAAAGGCCCAAAGGUGGCUGUUUGGUAGUGCGCAAAGCUGCUGGUGGUGGUGGACGUCUCUGCCCUGACGCGCGGCGUGCGUCUGCUCAGUGUGGAGGUGCCGCUGACAGCGGUGCCGGCCGGACCGGCUGCCUCUCCGGCGGCCGACAUUGAGCGCGGCACGUGUCCGCCGCCGUUCGGGCCGCUGCAGCUGCUGCAGUCGGCGGCGCAGCUGUCCGUCUCCGUGUCGCUGGCCGUGCCGCUGGACCUGCUGCCGCGGCCGGCGCCGGCGCGCUGCGCCUACGGCCGCCUGCUGGCCGUCGUCUCGCAGCGCGGCCUGCAGCGCAGCGGCGUGCUGCAGCUCAUCCAGCAGCUCAACGAGCCGCCCAGCCCGGCGGCGGCCGAGGGCGCCGCGCCGCGCCGGCCCGGCGACGUCAGCACACCUGGCAUCAGCGGCUUCUGCCUGUCCGACCGUCAGCUGCACCUGCUGUUCGCCGAGGGGCGCGCCGACGCCGAGCUGGAACAGACGGCGGCCGCGCCGCGCGCUCUGCCGCGCCGCGACACUCGACUCUGCCACCACUCGGGCCUACUGUUACGCCGUCCGCGCCAUCAGAGAGUGCUUCCGCACGCAGUGGCUGUCGGAAAAUGAACCUGCUUCCCAACGAGGCCGGCCUGCAACAACUGCUGGCCGGCUGUUGGCCGAAAAAAAAACGCCUUCAACCGGAUGUCAGUUGUCAAAUCAACGCGUAUUAAUGCAUUCACUAGGAUGGGCUUACGUAAAGCUGUAGAAUUGCAAAUAUAUAAUGGCACUGUUUUUGA
RNAcentral lists this long non-coding RNA (873 nucleotides) under Amphibalanus amphitrite. Its description in RNAcentral is "uncharacterized LOC122373087, transcript variant X2". The record is from RNAcentral. Lineage: Eukaryota; Metazoa; Arthropoda; Thecostraca; Balanomorpha; Balanidae.